This 166-nucleotide ribosomal RNA is filed under the name uncultured bacterium. RNAcentral's name for it is "partial 16S ribosomal RNA". It matches the Rfam family "Bacterial small subunit ribosomal RNA", at positions 1334 to 1500 of the family's 1533-position model. The record is from RNAcentral.
GCUAGUAAUGGCAGGCCAGCAUACUGCCGUGAAUACGUUCCCGGGCCUUGUACACACCGCCCGUCACACCAUGAGAGUUGGGAAUACCCGAAGCCUGUGAGCUAACUUUUAGAGGCAGCAGUCGAAGGUAGAAUCAAUGAUUGGGGCGAAGUCGUAACAAGGUAAC